ACUCCCGUGGCAGGUAGAAUGGCCUCAUGCCCACCGCUAACAGCUCAAUGUCUCUGUUACACGGCUUCAUUUUGACAUACACCACCUGAUGUUCACAAACACAGCCAGACCCCCUCCCUUCCUCUUGGCCUGAAGCGUCUCGUUUUCUCCCGUCGUAGUUUUCUGGCGCGGCGCCCACGUCGGGUCUUCACCAGCACCUCAGCGGUGAUCUCGUGUCUGUCUCUGGGCAGAACUACGGUGCUGCGCAGCGCGAUCAGCUGCUCCGCGGUGUAAACAAUGCGCGCUCUGACCCCGACGCACAUCGUAGCUUUAAAACAGCGUUUGUACUGCGCCAAACUUAGAAAAACUAUAUAAAAGCUGUGUACAGGUUGUGUACACUAAUGCUACUAACAAAACACUAGAAAGACAAACUUGAGUAGGUGAAGAAAGUAAUAAAUAGAAGUAAGAGGACAGGAGCUGUUGUGACCAGCAGCCAGCUCGACCGGCGCCGGAGAAAAAAAGAAGAAGAAGAAAAAAAGAAAUAUAGUACUGUCGCUUUUAAGAUGAUCACAUUUUAACCCAAACUAUCGUAUGGAAUUUAACAACUUUAAAAGUCACGUGAAUUUUAAAACAAACUUAUUCUAUGGGCACAUAGCCUAUGGAAAUCAAGGAGGUUCAGUUAUUUCGACAAUUUUAUUGAUUUUCAGAACUAGAGACUUGAUGUCGUGUCCGUGUUUUCUUCUGCAUGCUUUUAACAUCGUAAUGUCCAACGCACCUUGAAUACCGCAGCGGCAGAAGGAUUCGGCCUCAUUGAACAGGUUGAAUCCGCUCCUGAACCGUAGCGUGCGUCCAACUCGCAGACAGGCCGGUAAAGUAGCUUGGUCUAUUGGCCAGUCUCUGCACCACCGGAGUCUUUUACUAGUUUGUUAACAUUUUGAACUCGCGUUUCUUAUUUUCGCUCUAAACACGAUAAUUACUGUAUGACUGGCAACACUGAUACAUGAUGGCAAGCAGAGGCAGAGAAGCAUCUCCUACAACUGCAGGGGGUUUCCUUUGGUUAAACAAAUUCUAUCUCUGCUCUUUAAGUUUGUUUCGGUUUGUUCCGUGUAAUUCUAAUUUAAACUAUUGGUUGAUUACUAUUUUUGUUUCAGGUGCCCCAACCAACCUUCUUAUCAAGCCUCUCUUCCACCGCUACCACCUCUUAGCAAGCCUCGGGUGGGACGGGUUCAUCCUCUGUGCUGAGACUUAAUUAUGAUAUGCCACAGCAACGUCAGCCCCAAGUAUUGGCUGAGGUGGAGUCAACUUUAGCAGCAGGGAUGCAGCAUCAUAAUGCACAAGACUGCGCCCUACAGAACCUCGCAGCGCAGAUGAAGGCACUCCCUAAAGUUGUGGGCUGUGAGCUGCCACCUACUCGGGAUUUGCUGGUUAUCGACGGACAUGGAUCUACUCUGCAGCUUGCAUUAUUACACGCCAAGUGUGUGUUUCACUGUUUGAUAAUGGAAGGGAACCAACUCAAUACUUGGUGGAGAAAACGUUGGCUGCAAUACAUCUGAAUCUGAACUGUGAUAAAGAAAAAUAACGUGACAGCGGAUGAAGUUUGUUCCCGAGAAAAGGAAAAAAAAAAACAGUUGUGAUUCUGAUGUUGGUAAUAACAUGAGAUGUAUUCAUUAGGUAAUACUACAGAAAAUGUCUUAUUACCAAUAUGUUUCUUCAUAGUGUGAAUUUGAGGUUUGACUUGGAGUUUUGACAUGCUGCAUUUUUCACGCAGUCACUUUGGUUUUGACAUUAAUUUUGUCGAUUUGAUUCUGCUUCAAACAAAAGCUCUAAGAUUUGACCAAGAAUGGGUUUAGGUUUAUUGAAGACAUUUACACAGACACGUCUACUGAAGAAGUGGCGUAACUGUACUGUAGCUAAAUGUACAAUAGUACCAGUAGUUCCACUCCUCUAUUGUAGCUUUGACUUGUCUGUAGU
Betta splendens (Siamese fighting fish) is the source of this 1950-nucleotide long non-coding RNA. RefSeq lists it as uncharacterized. The transcript is spliced from 2 exons. NCBI's taxonomy places the organism in Eukaryota, Metazoa, Chordata, Actinopteri, Anabantiformes, Osphronemidae. The record is from RefSeq and is a predicted model, not a curated record.